UAUAUGCGCCAUGGAAGGUUGUCUAUUAUGAAGCCUAUUCAUCACGUAAGCUGGCAUUAGCUCGUGAGAGGCAGUUGAAAGCUUAUGGACAAGCCAGGACUGCUCUGAAGAAGAGACUAAAUUUGAUCUGAUACUCGAUUUCAAAGGUGCUGGGUGACGGCGUGCUUUUUGUAGAACGAUCCAGCGAGUUAAUUUUUACGGCGAGGUUAAGUCAGAUGAUGAAGCCACAGUGAAAGCGAGCAUUAACAGUGCGAUUUAGUCGUAAGGAUUAGACCCGAAACCAGGUGACCUAACCAUGAGCAGGUUGAAGCAACCUUAAUCGGUUGUGGAGGACCGAACCAGUGUAUAUUGCAAAAUGCUUGGAUGACUUGUGGUUAGCGGUGAAAUGCCAAUCGAACUUGGAGAUAGCUGGUUCUCCGCGAAAUAGUUAUAGGACUAGCGUCGUGUGAUAGCUUACGGGGGUAGAGCUCUGUCAAGAGAUAGGGGGAGCAAUCCUACCUACUCUUAAUAAACUACGAAUACCGUAUGUCUGUAUCACGGCAGUUAGAACGUCGGUGCUAAGAUCGGCGCUCAAAAGGGAAACAGCCCAGACCAUCAUCUAAGGUCCCCAAAUUUACGCUAAGUGGGAAACAAGGUGGAAUUUCUUAAACAGCUAGGAUGUUGGCUUAGAAGCAGCCAUUCAUUUAAAGAGUGCGUAACAGCUCACUAGUCAAGAGAUUCUGCGUGGAAGAUAUAACGGGGCUAAGCGUAAUACCGAAGAUAUGGAUUGCAAUUUAUUGCAGUGGUAGCGGAGCGUUCCUAUCAGCAGUGAAGCCGGACUGUUAAGUACUGGUGGAGCGUUAGGAAGUGAGAAUGCUGGAACGAGUAACCAUAAGACAGGUGAGAAUCCUGUCGGCCGAAAGAGCGAGGUUUCCUGGGCUAUGGUAAUCAUCCCAGGGUUAGUCGGGCCUAAGCCGAGGCGUUUAGCGUAGGCGAUGGACAUCAGGUUAAUAUUCCUGAACUAGUCAAACUUUGUAUGCAGUUAGCGAUGAGAUAGGUGGAGCGGAUUCAUGGUUUAUCCGUUCAAGUGAUAGAGGAAUCUUGAUCGAGUAAAAGUGAACCUACGGGUUUACGAUUCCGCCGAAGGCAUUGACCAGAAAAGCUGGCAUACGCAUGGGUUUGGCUACCCGUACCGCAAACCGACACAGGUGCUCGAGUCGAGGAGACUAAGGCUUACGAGAGAAUGAUUGCUAAGGAACUCGGCAAUACAGCGACCGUAACUUCGGAAUAAGGUCUGCCUACAUUUGUAGGCCGCAGCUAAAGAGCCCACGGAACUGUUUAUCAAAAACUCAGGUCUCUGCUAACACGAAAGUGGAUGUAUAGGGGCUGAAACCUGCCCGGUGCCGGAAGGUUAAGGGGAUUGCUUCACGGUGAGAACUGAAGCCCCGGUGAACGGCGGCGGUAACUAUAACCGUCCUAAGGUAGCGAAAUUCCUUGUCAGGUAAGUUCUGACCCGCACGAAUGGUUAAAUCAUGUGGGCACUGUCUCAGCAAUUAUCUCGGUGAAAAUGCAUUGGCGGUAAAGAUGCCGUCUGUCCGCACCAGGACGAAAAGACCCCGUGGAGCUUCACUACAGCUUUACAUUGUUGUGGGUUCUAACUUGUGUAGUAUAGGUGGGAGACUUUGAAGCAGAUACGCUAGUAUCUGUGGAGUCAUCAGUGAAAUACCACCCCCGUUAGGAUCUGCAUCUAACCUGUGCCGUUAUCCGGUAUAGGGACCGUGUAUGGUUGGUAGUUUAACUGGGGCGGUUGCCUCCUAAAGAGUAGCGGAGGCGUUCAAAGGUUGGCUAGCUACGGAUGGAAAUCGUAGUGGUAGUGUAUACGCAUAAGCCAGCUUGACUGUGAGGAGUACAUUCCGAUCAGAUGCGAAAGCAGGAGUAAGUGAUCCGCUGGACGAACCAUUGGUUCAUGAAUGUGGGAUUGCCAGCGCAAACGGACAAAAGUUACCCCGGGGAUAACAGGCUGAUAGCGCCCAAUAGUUCACAUAGACGGCGCUGUUUGGCACCUCGAUGUCGGCUCAUCACAUCCUGGAGGGGGAGCACCUUCCAAGGGUUCGGCUGUUCGCCGAUUAAAGUGGUACGCGAGCUGGGUUCAGAACGUCGUGAGACAGUUCGGUUUAUAUCCGGUAUGGACGUUAGGAAAUUUGAGAGGAUCUGCCCCUAGUACGAGAGGACCGGGGUGGACGUACCUCUGGUGUACGGAUUGUAGCCACCUGCUGCAUUGUCCGGUAGCUAUGUACGGAUCAGAUAAGCGCUGAAAGCAU
Molecule: ribosomal RNA, 2300 nt
Filed under: human oral metagenome
Description: bacterial LSU rRNA
Rfam family: Bacterial large subunit ribosomal RNA
Source: RNAcentral